GGGGGUGACUUGGCUUCGACGGGAACGGAUGGGUCAAGGCUGCAUGUCGCUUUGGAUACAGCGUAUAAAAUCCAAACUAAAUUUAAACGCAAACAACGUUAAAUUUGCUCCUGCUUACGCUAAAGUUGCGUAAGUCCAGUCGAGCCCUGCUCUGCGCCGAUACUAUCUAAGCGUGGUGGCGGGUAAUCUGCGAUAGCGUAGCUCUGCGGCGUGACGAGCCGUAGGGUGAAACUCUAGUCUUUGCGCCGGCGGGUCGUUUUGGAAAGUGAGCGAGCCUGCGCGAGAACUUCACUUUUGCUAAACAUGUAGAGGCUUUGGUCGUUUGUUUUCGGACUGCGGUUCAAUCCCGCACACCUCCACCA
Non-coding RNA from Campylobacter gracilis RM3268, 362 nucleotides. It matches the Rfam family "transfer-messenger RNA". Rfam says of the family: Bacterial tmRNA, also known as 10Sa RNA or SsrA, is named for its dual tRNA and mRNA-like properties. Its role is to liberate the mRNA from a stalled ribosome. Lineage: Bacteria; Pseudomonadati; Campylobacterota; Epsilonproteobacteria; Campylobacterales; Campylobacteraceae. The record is from Rfam.